This 721-nucleotide long non-coding RNA is filed under the name Equus asinus (donkey). RNAcentral's name for it is "lncRNA (ENSEASG00005024318.1)". The record is from RNAcentral. Lineage: Eukaryota; Metazoa; Chordata; Mammalia; Perissodactyla; Equidae.
CGGGCAGGCGGGAGGCGAGGCGGGGGCGCCAGCCGCGCCCAGGCGGACCCCGGGGAGCAGGCGCUGCGGAGGAAAGCCCGGGCGCUUGGCUACGACUGGCGCGCGUGGCCGCCUCCGCGUCGUCCUCUCUGCCCCGGGCGCCCCCCCGCCAGUCCCAGUCGCCGGCUGCGCCGAGGAGCGGCAUCAUCAGAUUUGGGGUGACCCCGAGCGACCUCGGUCCAAAGCUCGGAGGGAGAGGCGCCUCUCACAGCCUGGCCGGUUGACAGAGAAGGGGAACCGGGCGGGUGCAGCGGCCGGGCCGUCCUGGAGUAACAGACACCCGCCUUCUUCCUAGUGGGAACUGGGCGGCCGCGCUCGCUCCAGGGAGCUCGUUUUGACCCGUCUGUGCCUCGGCGGGAUGACUCCGGCUAUUACAUGAAAAAUGGAUUACGAGUGGAUCAAGAGAAGAAGUAAAGAGACCAGUGUGUGGACGACCAUAUUCGAUGGACACUCAAAAAAAUACAAGUAGGCUAGUGAGGCCCUGACAGAGGGGUUUGGAGGAGGAGCUGCUCCCUUGAGAAUAUGGUUUUAGAGACCACAGCACGUUAGCAUGGAUCUCACCUUUCUGCAACUAUUCUGAGACAAACUAAAGACCAUACUCCACCCACAGUCUCAGAACAGAGACGAUGUUUACCCUUCCCACGUCCUGAGCCACGGCUGAUGUCUAAGGGGUGGGCACCUG